Molecule: long non-coding RNA, 926 nt
Filed under: Amphimedon queenslandica
Lineage: Eukaryota; Metazoa; Porifera; Demospongiae; Haplosclerida; Niphatidae
Description: uncharacterized LOC109589413, transcript variant X5
Source: RNAcentral
CCCUCUUUCUCUACCUCCCUCCCUCUCUUCUCUAGUCAUCAUCUUCUUGCCAACUCAUUGACUCACAUUGGAGCAUUUGCUGAAGCUAAGCAAAAUAAGAGAAAAGCAUACAAUAUCUAUAGGACUAAAUUUGGCCCAGAUCAUGCACGUACUGUUCAGUCUUAUAAAAAACGUGAGGUAUAUCACUGAAAAGCAAGUCUCUUAUGACCAGACUGAGAAGCAACUGAUGGUGAGACUAGACCUGUAGGAAGAGGAACGGCUACACGUAAUAGAGAAGCAACUGAUGGUGAUACUAGAGCUGUAAGAAGAGGAACAGCUACACGUAAUAGAGAGGCAACUGAUGGUGAUACUAGAGCUGUAAGAAGAGAAACAGCUACACGUAAUAAUGCAGAGAUAGCCGUUACAGUUGAUGGUACAUUAAAGGUCUUCCAGUCCAUUCUCAUUGACUUAAUUGCAGACUUCUUACUAGCUCUUGUUGUUCACAGAGACUCGUGGCAGAUAUAUGAUGCUAUUGUAAUUCAUCCUUGUGAGCCAGGAGUAACUGAAUGGAUCAAUGUCUACAACCUAAAAUGGUGCGUCUUGUAGUCACGGAUGCUUGUGUUACAGAAAAUUGGCUACUGGCAAGGACAACCUCAGCCUGACAUGUGUUAAUCAUUUGAUUGUUGACUGUUGAGUUGGGGGACUACUGUUUGUUAUCCAUUGUACCUGUUGAAUGGACACAAUGCAGUAUCAGAACUUACUUGUUCAAGUAAUUAGGUAAUUUUAUCUCCCUUCUCUCAUUCCAGACUUGGUUGCAAUGGAAGUUGAUGUUCUCGUUUUCCUGGUGUAUGGCAGCUUAAGUGAAGCAUGGAUUUCAACAAAUAAGCGAGUAGGAAACUUGCCAUUAUUGAUUCUUCCAGAUAGCACUGCUAUUUUUCCAUUACUAA